This 518-nucleotide ribosomal RNA is filed under the name Thalassiosira punctigera. RNAcentral describes it as "partial Bacterial large subunit ribosomal RNA". It matches the Rfam family "Bacterial large subunit ribosomal RNA", at positions 698 to 1208 of the family's 2925-position model. The record is from RNAcentral. Lineage: Eukaryota; Bacillariophyta; Thalassiosirophyceae; Thalassiosirales; Thalassiosiraceae.
AGUCAUUAAUAUAAGACCCGAAACUAGGUGAUCUAACCAUGAACAGGCUGCAUUUAAAGCGUCACCGCUUAUUGAAGGGCCGAACUCGUGUAUGUAGAAAAAUACUGAGAUGAUUUGUGGUUAGGGGUGAAAGGCCAAUCAAACCUAGAGAUAGCUGGUUUUCUGCGAAAUCUAUUUAAGUAGAGCGUUUAAAAUUCUUUAUUCUAAGGUAGAGCACUCGAUAAAUAAAGGGAGCGUAAAGUUUUACUGCAUUUAAUGAAACUCCGAAUAUAAAAUUUAAAAGAUUUUAAAUAGACAGACUAUGAGUGCUAAGAUUCACAGUCAAAAGGGAAACAGCCCAAAUUAUUCGUUAAGGCCCUCAAAAAUAAUUAAGUGAAAAAGAAAGUAAAAAAAUUCCAACAGCUUCUAUGUAGGCUUGGAAGCAGCCAUCUUUUCAAGAGAGCGUAACUACUCAUUGGUUUAGUUUUUUAGCGUCGAAAAUGUAUAAGGACUCAAAUUAUUUGCCGAAACAAUAAAUU